UUUUUUUUUUUUUUUUUUUUUUUUUUGAGCCACUGGGCACAAGGCAGUUGGGUAUUCCUUUUGAUUAGCUUUUGUUAGCUCAGGAGGAAGCCUUUCAUCACUUCCCCCUUUGGGGGCUCAGCUUCCUCACCAGGCAUUCUGGGCCUUCACUCUCUCCCUCUGUACUCCCUUCUUUGACAAAGGUUUCCUUUUCCUGUUCCCUUAGCUUUGUCCUUUUUGCACUUUCUGUAAUCCCACCAGCAGCAGUGUUCCCUUUUGUUUGGAAAUAAGGACGAGAAAGAAAGGGAGGUGGAGAAGUUUUAAAAUUUUGAGAAAUGAAUAAAUCUGUUCUUUUAAGUCAUAAACCGCUGAAGGUCAGGUGCCCUUGUUAAAUAUUGUUGAGCACUAAUAAAAUCUCAUGAGCCUAAUACUUUUGAUAGAGCAUAGCUAUUAGGGAGUCUAAGCAGUUGCAGAGGUUAGGAUUUUCCUAAUAAUACUUGCAUUCAGUUCAUAAUCUUAUACUUAUUUAAACCUGUUUCUAGUCACUUUUCAUCAUAUCCAUGAAUAAUUACAGCUACUCAUUCUUAUAUCCAUAUAUAACUGCAUAUUUACCCCCUAGGUUUAUGCUUGAUUUAAACCUGGUACCAUAGUUAUUCCUAAUUGUAAACUGAUGAUGAGAUUUCACAUGUGUAUUGCAUAAUUUAAUUAGUUUAGUGUUUGUAAAAAUUCUUUGAAGGUAAAAUAUUUUCAUAAAUGCCAAGAAUUAUGAUUACUUUUGUUAUGUAAUUUCUAAGACUCAAUUUCUCUUGCAUAUAGUUCCUCUCUUAAGGAAGGUUUAUAUACAGUGCCUUUUAAAAAUAUUUCAAAAUUGGAAGCAUAUUUUUGGUUGUAGUAGAUACUGAAUUAUUCUUGCUGGUUUGAAUCUUGAAGAAAAUGAAAUGUAAAUUCAGAUUAAAUUGGUAUCUCUUUAGUACCCAGAAUAUGUUUUUGACAUUUGGAUACUGCCCAUUAAAUUCUUUGUAUUUGACUGUCUGAAAUGUAUUCUGAAUUUGUGUAUCUGUUCUGGGUUUUAUUUGAACUGAAUUUUAGUUAAGUAAAGAAUUUUAGUAUACUUUAAGUGGUAUUAAAUAAAAUGAAAAAGACUGAUUUCAAA
RNAcentral lists this long non-coding RNA (1132 nucleotides) under Homo sapiens (human). RNAcentral describes it as "novel transcript, sense intronic to PKP4". The record is from RNAcentral. Lineage: Eukaryota; Metazoa; Chordata; Mammalia; Primates; Hominidae.